This 444-nucleotide ribosomal RNA is filed under the name uncultured bacterium. RNAcentral's name for it is "bacterial SSU rRNA". It matches the Rfam family "Bacterial small subunit ribosomal RNA", at positions 355 to 796 of the family's 1533-position model. The record is from RNAcentral.
UGAGGAAUAUUGGUCAAUGGACGCAAGUCUGAACCAGCCAUGCCGCGUGAAGGAUGAAGGCCUUCUGGGUUGUAAACUUCUUUUAUGAGGGAAGAAACCCCAAUAAUCUUAUUGGGUUGACGGUACCUUAGGAAUAAGCACCGGCUAACUCCGUGCCAGCAGCCGCGGUAAUACGGAGGGUGCAAGCGUUAUCCGGAUUCACUGGGUUUAAAGGGUGUGUAGGCGGGCUGUUAAGUCAGUGGUGAAAUCUCCGGGCUCAACCCGGAAACUGCCAAUGAUACUAAUAGUCUUGAAUUCUGUUGAGGUUGGCGGAAUAAGUCAUGUAGCGGUGAAAUGCAUAGAUAUGACUUAGAACACCGAUUGCGAAGGCAGCUAACUAAGCAGAUAUUGACGCUGAGGCACGAAAGCGUGGGGAUCAAACAGGAUUAGAUACCCCCGUAGUCC